This 497-nucleotide ribosomal RNA is filed under the name uncultured bacterium. Its description in RNAcentral is "partial 16S ribosomal RNA". It matches the Rfam family "Bacterial small subunit ribosomal RNA", at positions 28 to 507 of the family's 1533-position model. The record is from RNAcentral.
GAUGAACGCUGGCGGCGUGCCUAAUACAUGCAAGUCGAGCGAACAGACGAGGAGCUUGCUCCUCUGACGUUAGCGGCGGACGGGUGAGUAACACGUGGAUAACCUACCUAUAAGACUGGGAUAACUUCGGGAAAUCGGAGCUAAUACCGGAUAAUAUAUUGAACCGCAUGGUUCAAUAGUGAAAGACGGUUUUGCUGUCACUUAUAGAUGGAUCCGCGCCGCAUUAGCUAGUUGGUAAGGUAACGGCUUACCAAGGCAACGAUGCGUAGCCGACCUGAGAGGGUGAUCGGCCACACUGGAACUGAGCCACGGUCAAGACUCCUACGGGAGGCAGCAGUAGGGAAUCUUCCGCAAAGGGCGAAAGCCUGACGGAGCAACGCCGCGUGAGUGAUGAAGGUCUUCGGAUCGUAAAACUCUGUUAUUAGGGAAGAACAAAUGUGUAAGUAACUAUGCACGUCUUGACGGUACCUAAUAAGAAAGCAACGGCUAACUACGUG